GGUAAGUUAGGGGCUGGAAGUGUUCCCAGACACAGAAGGCUGUACAGACGUAGAUCUGAGGUAAGUAAGGGGCUGGAAGCGUUCCCAUACACAGAAGGCUGUACAGACGUAGAUCUGAGGUAAGUAAGGGGCUGGAAGCGUUCCCAGACACAGAAGUCCGUACAGACAUAGAUCUGAGGUAAGUAAGGGGCUGGAAGCGUUCCCAGACACAGAAGGUUGUACAGACGUAGAUCUGAGGUAAGUAAGGGGCUGGAAGCGUUCCGAGACAC
This is a long non-coding RNA of Dreissena polymorpha, 269 nucleotides long. RefSeq lists it as uncharacterized. NCBI's taxonomy places the organism in Eukaryota, Metazoa, Mollusca, Bivalvia, Myida, Dreissenidae. The transcript is spliced from 3 exons. The record is from RefSeq and is a predicted model, not a curated record.